GACGAACGCUGGCGGCGUGCUUAACACAUGCAAGUCGAACGGAAAGGCCCUGCUUUUGUCGGGUGCUCGAGUGGCGACCGGGUGAGUAACACGUGAGUAACCUGCCCUUGACUUUGGGAUAACUUCAGGUAACUGGGGCUAAUACCGGAUAGGAGCUCAUGCUGCAUGGUGGGGGAUGGUAAGUUUCGGCGGUUGGGGAUGGACUCGCGGCUUACCAGCUUGUUGGUGGGGUAGUGGCUUACCAAGGCUUUGACGGGUAGCCGGCCUGAGAGCGUGACCGGCCACAAUGGUACUGAGAGACGGCCCAGACUCCAACGGGGGGCAGCAGUGGGGAAUAUUACACAAUAGGGGGGAGCCUGAGGCGGCAACGUCGCGUGCGGAAAGACGGCCUUCGGGUUAUGAACCGCUUUAGCCUGUGACGAAGCGUGAGUGACGGUAUUGGGCAAGGAAGGACCGGCUAACUACGUG
RNAcentral lists this ribosomal RNA (468 nucleotides) under uncultured bacterium. Its description in RNAcentral is "partial 16S ribosomal RNA". It matches the Rfam family "Bacterial small subunit ribosomal RNA", at positions 28 to 507 of the family's 1533-position model. The record is from RNAcentral.